This 167-nucleotide unclassified non-coding RNA is filed under the name soil metagenome. RNAcentral's name for it is "partial contains 5.8S ribosomal RNA, internal transcribed spacer 2, and large subunit ribosomal RNA". The record is from RNAcentral.
AACGGUCUAUACCUGCGGUACCUGCGGAGGGAUCAUUAGUGAACGCCCUCACGGGCUUAUAACUAUUCCAAGCCUCUGUGAACCGUGCCCUUCGGGGCUAUUUUACAAACAUGGUGUAAUGAACGUCAUAUAUCAUAACAAAACAAAACUUUUAACAAUGGAUCUCU